UACGUAUGGGGCAAGCGUUAUCCGGAUUUAUUGGGCGUAAAGCGCGCGUAGGCGGCUUGUUAAGUCAGGUGUGAAAUCCGGGGGCUCAACCCGCGGCUUGCAUCUGAAACUGGCAGGCUUGAGUCUGGUAGAGGAAAGUGGAAUUCCUGGUGUAGCGGUGAAAUGCGCAGAUAUCAGGAGGAACACCAGUGGCGAAGGCGGCUUUCUGGGCCACGACUGACGCUGAGGCGCGAAAGCUAGGGGAGCGAAC
RNAcentral lists this ribosomal RNA (250 nucleotides) under uncultured bacterium. RNAcentral's name for it is "partial 16S ribosomal RNA". It matches the Rfam family "Bacterial small subunit ribosomal RNA", at positions 524 to 773 of the family's 1533-position model. The record is from RNAcentral.